CGGGGAAGUCAGAGAGCUUGAUGUGGUGUAGUUCCUCUUCUUCGAUCUCUCCAUCAUCGUCCUCUUCUUUCUCGUGCUCGGUUAUCAGAAGAUUGGGAUUGUUUUGGACCUUGUGGAGAUGAUAGCUCAUGCGUUCGACCUCUAUCACGACGUCGCUUGGCAACCCAGUGGUGCAAAACCAAGCCUGUCCUCUGGAACCAAGCUUCUCGUCCGCCAUUGCCCCUUCUCCUUCUCAACCCUAACCCUAGUUCAUGCUCUCAGCUUUACUUAAUUACCAGAGCAUCUCUCACAGACAUUGCGGGAAGAGUGGAUAGACAAAGGACAUUCAGAGCUCAUAAAUUUUCCAUCUACCAUGAUGAAGUGCAUUGAAAGUGGAGGAAAGGAGUGUUCAAACAGGACCUUUGAAAAAGGUCAGUGGUAUCUUUCUUCAUCGACUGCUACACUGUCCAUUUCUUUAGGGCUUAAAUGAUGCAUGUUUGCUGUUUUUUCAUAUCUAGGGAUAUGAGAUGCUACUGGCCUAUAUAUAUAGUGGUAGCUUAUACUUUUGUGGUUUAUUUGUGCUAGAGUGUUAUUAUUGAUAAUUAUAGAAGGUAUAGUGAUGAUUUGUAAUUUUGUAUAUAAUAGAUAAUGAUUGCAAUCUUCUUUUUACAAUCAGUUUCUAAGUACAGUUAUUGUAUAUAAAAAAAAUUUAUUUU
Molecule: long non-coding RNA, 695 nt
Organism: Dioscorea cayenensis subsp. rotundata (Guinea yam)
Lineage: Eukaryota; Viridiplantae; Streptophyta; Magnoliopsida; Dioscoreales; Dioscoreaceae
Exons: 4
Source: RefSeq, a predicted model, not a curated record